GCGCGGGUGGUGUAGUGGUAACAUUGACGUUAAUACUGAAAAGUAAACAGUGGCGUAAACGAUCACGUUUUAUCAGUCUGUAAUAUUCAGCAAUUAAAGUCCUUGCUUCGAUUCCGAGCUUGCGCU
Chaetomium fimeti is the source of this 126-nucleotide non-coding RNA. NCBI's taxonomy places the organism in Eukaryota, Fungi, Ascomycota, Sordariomycetes, Sordariales, Chaetomiaceae. The record is from the annotation of a RefSeq genome assembly.